RNAcentral lists this ribosomal RNA (253 nucleotides) under uncultured bacterium. Its description in RNAcentral is "partial 16S ribosomal RNA". It matches the Rfam family "Bacterial small subunit ribosomal RNA", at positions 524 to 776 of the family's 1533-position model. The record is from RNAcentral.
UACGUAGGGUGCGAGCGUUGUCCGGAAUUACUGGGCGUAAAGAGCUCGUAGGUGGUUUGUCGCGUUGUUCGUGAAAACUCACAACUCAAUUGUGGACGUGCGGGCGAUACGGGCAGACUGGAGUACUGCAGGGGAGACUGGAAUUCCUGGUGUAGCGGUGGAAUGCGCAGAUAUCAGGAGGAACACCGGUGGCGAAGGCGGGUCUCUGGGCAGUAACUGACGCUGAGGAGCGAAAGCGUGGGGAGCGAACAGG